RNAcentral lists this ribosomal RNA (574 nucleotides) under uncultured bacterium. RNAcentral's name for it is "bacterial SSU rRNA". It matches the Rfam family "Bacterial small subunit ribosomal RNA", at positions 351 to 916 of the family's 1533-position model. The record is from RNAcentral.
GCAGUAGGGAAUCUUCCACAAUGGGCGAAAGCCUGAUGGAGCAAUGCCGCGUGAGUGAAGAAGGUCUUCGGAUCGUAAAGCUCUGUUGUUAGAGAAGAACAAGAGGUGUAGUAACUGGCACCUCCUUGACGGUAUCUAACCAGAAAGUCACGGCUAACUACGUGCCAGCAGCCGCGGUAAUACGUAGGGGGCAAGCGUUGUCCGGAAUUAUUGGGCGUAAAGCGCGCGCAGGCGGUCUCUUAAGUCUGAUGUGAAAGCCCACGGCUCAACCGUGGAGGGUCAUUGGAAACUGGGAGACUUGAGUGUAGGAGAGGAAAGUGGAAUUCCACGUGUAGCGGUGAAAUGCGUAGAGACGUGGAGGAACACCAGUGGCGAAGGCGACUUUCCGGCCUAUAACUGACGCUGAGGCGCGAAAGCGUGGGGAGCAAACAGGAUUAGAUACCCUGGUAGUCCACGCCGUAAACGAUGAGUGCUAGGUGUUAGGGGUUUCGAUACCCUUAGUGCCGACGUUAACACAUUAAGCACUCCGCCUGGGGAGUACGGCCGCAAGGCUGAAACUCAAAGGAAUUGACGG